AAAUAUAUAUAUAUACACACGCACACACACACACACACACACACACAUAUAUUUCCCUACCGAGGAACUUUCCCUACUGAGGAACACUUAAGUUGUCUCCACUUUUUGCUGUUACAAACAACACUCUAGUGAACGUCUCUGUGCACAAAUCCUGUUUUGAAAUGAUCCUUCCUCUCCCAGUAAUCUCCAUAUUCUGUACUUCCUGUGUAUGGAUUCACCACCAAGCAUCUUCUAAAAAGAACCAUUGCCUGGGAUUUAUUCAAUCGUCAUGAAUCAACAGUGGGGAAAAGGCGUUUGACCAAGUACUGAGCAACAGCAUGUGCUCUGCCUGGGUCCGGCUCUAUGUGGGGAACAAGAUUAUAAGAUGGGGGCUCUGUCCCCAAGGAACUGGGUCUAAUAGGAAGACUACCAAUGGCUGCAAACUGCCGUUGGCUGUCUUCCCAACUGGCCAGAGAUGACGCCCACAGCCCCCACGGCCUUGCUGCCAUGAAGAAGGCCUUCUUCCUGAAGAAAGGACUGGGCUAUGUUAGACCAAAGGUCUCCUGGGACGAUGGCCUUGCAUCUCUUCCAAAAGGCAUGGCUAGUGCUGAAUCAGCCCCCCAGGGGUCUGGAAGCUGUAGGUCAGCCCCCAGUUCUCCCAGCCAAGGACAGUGAGUCAGCCCAUACAUACCCCAUGUACUCCCACCCCAGGAAUCAAAGCCAAGCGAGACUAGAGCAGGUCCUGUAUGUAGAGCCAGAUUCAGGGCCAGGGAGAAGGUCAGUGGUGUUCAGCCCCCUGGGUAUCCACAGCUUUGCCCAGUGCAGUUUCUAAGAAGCCCUCUCCAUAGGGACAAAAUGCCACAGAGAGGAAACAAAUCUAUGGAGAGGGCUUCUGGCCAGGCAAGGAAGCUGCACAAGCUCCACGCAUCCAGAGCAACACAAGAUGCCACACUAAGCUGCAAGGUUGCUCAGCCUGAACGUUUAAAUCCAGAGAGAAACAAGAGCAGGCCUCCUGCCCUCUCUCCAUAUACCCUCUCAAUAUGGAGGCCUAUGCAAGGUCCUGCCCACAAGGUACCAGCCUUCAUGACAAAGCUGGCGCCAUUGAGAAGGUUAAAUGAAAGGGCAUGUGUGAUGCAGUUAGCUUCGGGCCUGACAAACUCAACAAAAAAACUGCGGAGAUUCUUCCCCUUGCUCUGAGGAGGGCUCCUUACAGCCCAACUCCUACUGCCUGGUUCCCCCAGCAGUGUAAGCUGUCCCUCCGCAUGGGAGUGCCUCCUCACACAUGGGGGUCUGUCUUCCCUGGGGAUUCCCUCACACACCUCCCUUAGGGCCAGACGCUGGCCAGGUGCUCAGAAAAUGUUUGUGCACCUCACUGGAGGGGUCUGGGACAUGUCCCCUGUUUAGGGAAACAGAAAGAGUCUCUUGCCUCUGCCCUUCUGACCCCUCUGUUCUUGUCCCUCUGCAGGACAGCCAGAGCCUGGACCUGCAGUUGCCAUAGCAACAGCGGAGCCAGAGAGAGUACCAGGUGGGGCAUCCCUGCGGCUCCAGAGAAGCAGCUACCUCUUCUAGACAGCAAAGUGGGGAAACAGCUAUGAUAGUGGCCUUGUGAUGAGCUCCUGGAAGUGGCCUGGGUUUCUACAUCAUCCAUCCAUCCAUCCUUCCAUUUGCUCAGUCAUUCAUCACUACUAUACACAAGGCACUGUGCCAAACACCAGGAAAACAAAGUCAAGUGGGAAACUAUUCCUGCCUUGAGAGAGCUCCCAGUCCAGGGGGGAAAGCAGAAGAGGAAGGCAGCAAGGGCAGGAGGCGAGGUAGUGCUGGCAGUGGGGAGGCCGAGCAGGGCAGAGAUUAAGAGCACAGGCUCCAGAGUCAGCCUCCCGCAAGCAAACCUCAGCUCUGUUCAUCACUAGCUAUGCAACACCUGGGCAGGCGACUCCACCUCUAAAUCUCGGUUUACUGAUCUGUAAAAUGGGAGUAAUUGGUACUUACCUCAUAAGGUUUGGAGGUAUUAGUAAUAUAUGUAAAGUACCUAGCAUAUAGUAAGUGCUCAGUAAACAGAAGGUUUACUGUUGUUCUGAAUCUACCCUACAUUCCCUCCUCCAAAACCCAAGGCUGAAGCCCGAGUUUCCGGUUAGGGCUUCCUGCAGUUUCCUCAGCUAACUCUUCCCUGGCGUCCAGGAUAAGCAGCCCCUGCUGCCAUUGUACCUGGGAUGUCUGUGUGUCCCCACCUCUCCACCUCCCUGCUGCUAUCAGAUCACCUGGGACAGUGUCUCAGAUAAAGUCCCCAAAGAGGGUCUUUGUGUUUAACAAAUAAAUGGCCAACAACCAUUAAGUGAAAUACUUAAAAUGCCUCCGCCCUUAUCUUUUAUACAGCUCCUCAUUAUUCAUCCCGAUACUCUCCUCUUAUGGCAGAAAGUCACAAAAACAUGUAAACACACGCGCACACACACACACAUGCACCUUUUGAGAGAUUUUCUUCACCUGUGAGCAUAACCUGAAGACUAUGCCCAGAUUUAGCAACGGCUGUUCCUGCUAACAGUCAUCCUCCCACUUCCUUCCCCCAGUCCUGUGACGCUGGAACAGAGGCUGCCCCUACUCAGGGUUCUCCAGUCCUGUGACGCUGGAACAGAGGCUGCCCCUACUCAGGGUUCUCUGGGGGGCAGCAGCAUCACUAAGCAACCGCUACCUCCAUUGCUUUGUCCAUCUCAGCCGCAGGACAGGACUGGAAAUGGCUCUUCAUAUUGGCUCCUAUGGCGGGGAGCUGACUGUUGCUGCUCAACUGCUCCCUCUGGAGGGGCUGUUUGCUAAUGACAAAGUAGGCCGGAGACCCUUGCUGAGUGCAAGGGGAUUCGUGGGCAUUGCAGCGAUCCUUGGGAGGAAAUGGCAGGGCAGAGUAUUACACAGUUCUUGUCCUUGGAGCACGUGUGUAACCAUCCUGUGUGCGCAGCAUGGUACGGGGGCACUUUAGCGUUCCAUUCAGCAUCCGAGCUGCUUGGUAAUUGGGCAGGCCUGCAAGCAUUUCAAAGCCCUCACAUUUUAACCCUCGGAAACAGAUAACCUGCUCCAAGAGGAGACAGAUUCUCUGCUUAACCAAACUUUAGUCAGGCUCCUGAGCCUCCUCCUAGGUCCAUCUGUGUAUGUCCUUGUAAAAUUGUUUUACCAAAGAACCCUGCUAAGUUAGUUUGGCAAAAGAACUUCCCCACCUCAAUAUCAGAUCAUCCUUGAUAUCUGAUCAAGUCCCUUGUCCUCCGCCAUCCCACAGGUGAUGUCUGAUCAUCCUGGCCUUCUUCAGCAAGAAUCCUGUUAGGUCAGUUUAGCCAGAAUCCUCCUUAUCCCUGAUGUUUCCUCCGAGUAAUUUUCAAUCCAGUGAUCUCUGCUCUACUCCUGGGCUAUAAAUUUACCCACUUGUUCAUCCUGUACUCAGAGUUGAGCCCAAUCUCCCUCCCCCACUGCAAAAGUCUCAUUGCAGUGGUCCCUGCACCUAUCACAAUGGUUAUGAGUAAUUCUUCCUUCACAUGCUUUAAACAAGUGUCAGUGAAUGAUUUUUUUCUUUAACAGAGAGUAGUGAGAUUCUGAGUAUUCUUCAGAAACAUGGGAGAGAAUAUUUAUCUUACAUCAUUAACAACAUUGCAAAAUUUCAGAAUGUGCAGUAUUAAACUUGGCCUUGGGGUGUGAGGGAGGAGGAGGGGGAGGGAUAAAAUCACAGCUUUCAAGGGAUCACAGGUUGAGAUUAAACCUGCACACAGGAAACAACCAGAAAACAACUCCAAACCAUGAAUCAAGCCAUAUGCAAUGUAGGACAUCUAGUUCCACAAAGUGAUGGGGGGAUGAGCACAGGGUUCAAGUCUGAUCACUGACAGAAGCCUCAUCAUAAUAAGGUUGCCUGCCAUUCACUGAGUUUCACCCAGCUGAUACUAAGCCCUUGCAUAGAUGAGCCCAUCAUUAAUUAACAGCCCUGUGAAAUAGGUACUAAGCAGUCCCAUUUUACAGAUAAGAAACUGAGUCUGAUAGAAGUGAAGCAACUUACUCAAGAAACUUAAGUUGCAAAGCCGGAAUUUGAACCCAACGCUGACCUUGAAGCCCUGUUUGUAACCCCUAUAGCACACCACUUCUCUUUACAUAAAGAAGAAUUUUGAUCUGAACUCUGCAAGAGAAAAGACUGGUUGGGAAAAAAAACAUAGGGCUGCUCUGAGGAAGAAUAGUAUGUAGAGGAAAUGGCAUUUUCAAAGGCUCAAGAGCUCUAACAGGUCAGAUGAGAGCAAAAUGUUUGAAAAGAUCAAAUGUUCAGCCUUCCAGGCACUCAAAGAUGACAAUAAAUGGGAAAUGGGUCUCCCAAGUGGG
Molecule: non-coding RNA, 4320 nt
Organism: Macaca mulatta (Rhesus monkey)
Lineage: Eukaryota; Metazoa; Chordata; Mammalia; Primates; Cercopithecidae
Source: RefSeq, a predicted model, not a curated record